CAUGGCUACAACAGCUGCAGAGUCACCGUCUCUGAAUCAAAGUCUGGGAAGACCGAAACAACUCAGCAACCUGGAAAUUUCCAAAUGCCAGAUUUGAAUGAUGUGACCAAAGGCAUAGACCACAGGACAGACAGACAGAAGAAAAUAUAAAAGUAACUCUCUUUGAUGACCCCUGAUCCUGGAUGAGAGAAACAGUAACAUCAACAAAGGGACUGUUGGAAUGUAAGAAGAGCUGGUAUGAGUGAGGAAAUCAGAAAAAUUGAGCAAAUUAAAAAGAACACCACUUAUGUUUUUUGCAUUGGGAUUUAACAGCUAAAUAUUUAAAUCCUACAUGGUGUCUAAAGUUUAGGUUUUCACAACUGAUGUUAGUAUUCAGUGUUGAGCAUGUGACUGUAUGAACUACUGUUUACUGGAUCAGCUGAUUCUGGUGUUUCCAAAGUUUCGACUGAAUGAUCAGAAUGACUUUUUCAGUUGUAGCCAGUGACCAUGUUAAGAUGACCCCUCACUGCAUGUUUUAUAAAAUAGUAAUAAAAUCAUUUUUAUUCCCUUGCUUUUAA
Oreochromis aureus is the source of this 557-nucleotide long non-coding RNA. RefSeq lists it as uncharacterized. The record is from RefSeq and is a predicted model, not a curated record. Lineage: Eukaryota; Metazoa; Chordata; Actinopteri; Cichliformes; Cichlidae. The transcript has 3 exons.